AGAAAAUGUAUGUAUCGUUUGUAAUUACUUCUCUCACCUGGGUGGAAUGAAGCAAAAGAAAACAGAAUUGUUCCAUUUUCUCCGUAACCAAAAUUUUAGGAGAGGACAGGUGUUCCUCUUAAUUCACAUGACAUCUUACUGGGAAGGAGCAGUCCUAGAAGUGAGAACUAAGAAUUCUACUUCUUUUCAUUAUUUAUUUUCAAAUGUGGUAGAAAGGUUUUGUUAGGGAGAGAUAAGCACUUUCCAUAAAACAAUGCGGUAGUGACAUGAGGUAAUUACAUGGUGACUGGGACACACCGCAUGGCAUACUGGAGAAAUUGCACGAUACCUACGUGAUGACUAUAGUAACGCUGGUUAGCGCUACCGUAUUAUCUCCUGAUAACUAGAUAAUUAGUUUGUGUCACAGAAGCACCCUAAAAGUAUGCCUGUUCCAGCUACUCUGGUAGGAAAAAAAAAAUAAACUUUUUUGCAAGGGGGAAAAAAAGCUAAUGAAGAAAGUUGCCAAGAACAGAUAUUUUGUAAUCUGUGCUAAAUCUCUGCUGGAAAACAUGAACAGUAACGAAGCUGAGAAGACAGUAAAAGAAAUUCGGGGCAAGGUGCCAGACGCCCAGACGGAAGGAGAAUGUGGACCAAAAGAUUGCGACAAUCGGUUCCUUGACCAUCAGUCUGUGGCCUGCCACUUUUCUUUAUAUGCAGCCGCUCUCUGCUCCCUGCCCCAAUGAACAUCUGCACUAGGCCCAAGCCUUGGAGUGAUUUACCUGAAGAGUGACAUCAUUGAUUUGGAAACUACUGUGAGUACACCGUGCCUCCAACGAAGGCUUCUUAGUUCGCUUAGUUUAAAAAACAAAAACAAACAAAACCCAAAACUCACACAAUUGUAAAUGCAGAUGAAAGUUCCGAUGGUUUCGUGUCUGGAACACAGGGAGGUCACCA
This 933-nucleotide long non-coding RNA is filed under the name Suricata suricatta (meerkat). RNAcentral's name for it is "lncRNA (ENSSSUG00005001437.1)". Lineage: Eukaryota; Metazoa; Chordata; Mammalia; Carnivora; Herpestidae. The record is from RNAcentral.